This 253-nucleotide ribosomal RNA is filed under the name uncultured bacterium. RNAcentral describes it as "partial 16S ribosomal RNA". It matches the Rfam family "Bacterial small subunit ribosomal RNA", at positions 524 to 776 of the family's 1533-position model. The record is from RNAcentral.
UACGUAGGGGGCGAGCGUUGUCCGGAGUUACUGGGCGUAAAGGGCAUGCAGGCGGUCGGACGCGUUUCGGGUGACAGCGGGUGGCUUAACUACCCGAGUGGUCGAAAGACGGUUUGACUUGAGGACGCGAGAGGGACACGGAAUUCCGGGUGGAGUGGUGAAAUGCGUAGAGAUCCGGAGGAACACCGAAGGCGAAGGCAGUGUCCUGGCGAGUGACUGACGCUGAGGUGCGAAAGCCAGGGGAGCGAACGGG